ACUUGUUCUUUAAAUAAGGACUAGUAUGAAUGGCAUCACGAAGGUUAUACUGUCUCCCCUUUUUAAUCAGUGAAACUAAUCUCCCCGUGAAGAAGCGGGGAUAAAACUAUAAGACGAGAAGACCCUAUGGAGCUUUAGACUAAGCAACUUUUGUUAUUUAAACACUUAUACCCUCCGGAAAUCUAACUAUAUUUUAUCAUAUUGAUUGCUUGUCUUAGGUUGGGGUGACCGCGGAGCACAACAUAACCUCCACAAUGAAAGAAACUUAAUUUCUUAACCCAGAAUUACAAUUCUAAGUACCAAAAAUUUGACAUAAAUUGACCCAAUAAGUUGAUCAACGAACCAAGUUACCCUAGGGAUAACAGCGCAAUCUACUUCAAGAGCCCCUAUCGACAAGUAG
This 400-nucleotide ribosomal RNA is filed under the name Physalaemus centralis (central dwarf frog). RNAcentral describes it as "partial 16S ribosomal RNA". It matches the Rfam family "Bacterial large subunit ribosomal RNA", at positions 1967 to 2515 of the family's 2925-position model. Lineage: Eukaryota; Metazoa; Chordata; Amphibia; Anura; Leptodactylidae. The record is from RNAcentral.